Molecule: ribosomal RNA, 230 nt
Filed under: uncultured bacterium
Lineage: Bacteria
Description: partial 16S ribosomal RNA
Rfam family: Bacterial small subunit ribosomal RNA
Source: RNAcentral
GAUCCUGGCUCAGGAUGAACGCUAGCUACAGGCUUAACACAUGCAAGUCGAGGGGCAGCAUGGUCUUAGCUUGCUAAGACUGAUGGCGACCGGCGCACGGGUGAGUAACACGUAUCCAACCUGCCGUCUACUCUUGGACAGCCUUCUGAAGGAAGAUUAAUACAAGAUGGCAUCAUGAGUCCGCAUGUUCACAAUGAUUAAAGGUAAUUCCCGGUUGGGACGGAUGGGGG